GAUGAACGCUGGCGGCGUGCCUAAUACAUGCAAGUCGAGCGAUCAGACGAGGAGCUUGCUCCUCUGACGUUAGCGGCGGACGGGUGAGUAACACGUGGAUAACCUACCUAUAAGACUGGGAUAACUUCGGGAAACCGGAGCUAAUACCGGAUAAUAUAUUGAACCGCAUGGUUCAAUAGUGAAAGACGGUUUUGCUGUCACUUAUAGAUGGAUCCGCGCCGCAUUAGCUAGUUGGUAAGGUAACGGCUUACCAAGGCAACGAUGCGUAGCCGGCCUGAGAGGGUGAUCGGCCACACUGGAACUGAGACACGGUCCAGACUCCUACGGGAGGCAGCAGUAGGGAAUCUUCCGCAAUGGGCGAAAGCCUGACGGAGCAACGCCGCGUGAGUGAUGAAGGUCUUCGGAUCGUAAAACUCUGUUAUUAGGGAAGAACAAAUGUGUAAGUAACUAUGCACGUCUUGACGGUACCUAAUCAGAAAGCCACGGCUAACUACGUG
RNAcentral lists this ribosomal RNA (497 nucleotides) under uncultured bacterium. RNAcentral's name for it is "partial 16S ribosomal RNA". It matches the Rfam family "Bacterial small subunit ribosomal RNA", at positions 28 to 507 of the family's 1533-position model. The record is from RNAcentral.